RNAcentral lists this ribosomal RNA (441 nucleotides) under uncultured bacterium. RNAcentral's name for it is "bacterial SSU rRNA". It matches the Rfam family "Bacterial small subunit ribosomal RNA", at positions 958 to 1398 of the family's 1533-position model. The record is from RNAcentral.
AACGCGAAGAACCUUACCUAGGCUUGAAACGCAAAUUAAAGCGAAUGAAAGUUCGUGUCCCGCAAGGGGAAUUUGUACAGGUGCUGCAUGGCUGUCGUCAGCUCGUGCCGUGAGGUGUUGGGUUAAGUCCCGCAACGAGCGCAACCCUUGUCUUUAGUUGCCACCGGGUGAUGCCGAGCACUCUAAAGAGACUGCCUACGCAAGUAGUGAGGAAGGUGGGGAUGACGUCAAGUCCGCAUGGCCCUUACGCCUAGGGCCACACACGUGCUACAAUGGCCACUACAAAGGGCUGCAAAACCGCGAGGUCGAGCCAAUCCCUAAAAAGUGGUCUCAGUUCGGAUCGGAGUCUGAAACUCGACUCCGUGAAGCUGGAAUUGCUAGUAAUCGUGGAUCAGCACGCCACGGUGAAUACGUUCCCGGGCCUUGUACACACCGCUCGUC